RNAcentral lists this ribosomal RNA (304 nucleotides) under uncultured bacterium. Its description in RNAcentral is "partial 16S ribosomal RNA". It matches the Rfam family "Bacterial small subunit ribosomal RNA", at positions 506 to 807 of the family's 1533-position model. The record is from RNAcentral.
CAGCAGUAGCCGCGGGAAUACGAGGGGGGCAAGCGUUGUUCGGAUUUAUUGGGCGUAAAGGGCGCGUAGGCGGUUUGGCAAGUUUGAUGUGAAAUCUUUGGGCUCAACUCGAAGUCUGCAUCGAAAACUGCCGGGCUUGAGUAUGGGAGAGGUGAGUGGAAUUUCCGGUGUAGCGGUGAAAUGCGUAGAUAUCGGAAGGAACACCUGUGGCGAAAGCGGCUCACUGGACAAUAACUGACGCUGAUGCACGAAAGCUAGGGGAGCAAACAGGAUUAGAGACCCGGGUAGUCCCUGUCUCUUAUAC